Molecule: transfer RNA, 104 nt
Filed under: Ephemerocybe angulata
Lineage: Eukaryota; Fungi; Basidiomycota; Agaricomycetes; Agaricales; Psathyrellaceae
Description: Coprinellus angulatus tRNA-Pro
Rfam family: tRNA
About the family: Transfer RNA (tRNA) molecules are approximately 80 nucleotides in length. Their secondary structure includes four short double-helical elements and three loops (D, anti-codon, and T loops). Further hydrogen bonds mediate the characteristic L-shaped molecular structure. tRNAs have two regions of fundamental functional importance: the anti-codon, which is responsible for specific mRNA codon recognition, and the 3' end, to which the tRNAs corresponding amino acid is attached (by aminoacyl-tRNA synthetases). tRNAs cope with the degeneracy of the genetic code in two manners: having more than one tRNA (with a specific anti-codon) for a particular amino acid; and 'wobble' base-pairing, i.e. permitting non-standard base-pairing at the 3rd anti-codon position.
Source: RNAcentral
GGCCCAAUGGUCUAGUAGUAUGAUAUUCCCUUCGGGUGUUCUUCACUCGCUCUGUUCUCAGAGUCCAAUGGGAGUGGUCGGGAGUUCAAUUCUCUCUUGGGCCC